UGUUGUCCAUUUGAGAAGACAAUAUUAGGCCAUAGAGAAGAACAUCAUCAAGAUGAUGGGUUUUGAAAGGAGAUCACCUGGGAUCUCAACAAGACAGGACUAGAAUGACUUUGAGAAGCCACCAAAUCACUGCAGCAACAACAAUCACAGCAAUAGCUACAACAACAGCUACAGCAACAAUACAGGACUUCCAGAGGCGGGGAUAUGGAGCAUCAGCAUCUGUGUUUCUCCUCCUCUCCCGGGUCAAGUAGGAAUACCAAAGGAGAUCACCUGGGACCACUACAAGACAGGACUAGAACAAAUUUUGGAAUCCACCAAAUCACUGAGGUCUUCACAACUCCAGGCUGACUUUUUCAAAGAGAGGGGGAAGAACAGAGGAAGAGAGGAGAAGACAUCAUAUAACUAGAGUUUUCCCUCAGUGUGGUGCAGGUCAGGUUCAAACGUAAGCCAUGUUCAUGACAAAGCAGAUACACUCUCAGGAUACAAGGAAAGGAAUCAACAGGCAAACGAAGAAAAAGAAGCACAGGGGACAGAAGACACAAAGUAAAAUCUGGAUUGAGUGUGGUGUAUUGAACCGAAGCAAAAGACUCUGGG
Erinaceus europaeus (western European hedgehog) is the source of this 594-nucleotide long non-coding RNA. RefSeq lists it as uncharacterized. The transcript has 4 exons. NCBI's taxonomy places the organism in Eukaryota, Metazoa, Chordata, Mammalia, Eulipotyphla, Erinaceidae. The record is from RefSeq and is a predicted model, not a curated record.